UUGGCCAACCACAGCUAUAUGGCGGCUCUGCAAUUUGUUAAAUUUGUUUUCUUCUGUUUUGUUGCAAACUGGAUCGGAUCUCUUUGUGAAUCGCAAGGAAGAUACCAGUGCCACUGUAGUAGUGGAUGCACUGGCAAUAACUAUGAUUGCCAUGGGUCUUGCGAAAAUGGAUAUUACGGACGUUAUUGUCAAAAAGAAAACGUUGCUUUGAAUAAAACAACGGAACAAUCACCAAUCUGUGUUGACUAUAAAGGUGAGGCGUAUUUGGCUGUGGAUGGCAACACGACAACAACAUUCGGAGAAUGGAAUUCUCCACAUCCAUGUACUUGUGCAAAAGGAAAUCCAACUACAUACUGGAGUGUUGAUUUGGGAAAGAAGUAUACAUUAUACAAAAUUAGAAUCUACCAGAGAAGGAACACUUUAAAUCAUAAAAGACUCAAAGGAUUUUAUAUCACCGUCGACAGCAUUGAGUGUUACCGCUGGAACGAUAAUACCUCUGACCCACCAAAAGAGUUUAAUAUAACCUGUAACAAAACUGGACAAUUUGUGAAGUUUGAAGUUUCACGAUCUGAAUACUUUACUUUGUGUGAAGUGCAAAUAUUCGUGUGCACAGAUUUCUGGUAUGAUGAAGACUGUGACAAGAUGUGUAACUGUAGAGAUGAGACUGAAGUGUGUGACAAGAAGACGGGAAGAUGUACAGCUUGUCCGGAUGGCUGGAUUGGAGACACCUGUGGUGCUUGCAGAGAUAACUAUUGGGGUACGUCCUGUGAGAAGUGUGGACAUUGUAAGACUGGAGGUUGUAAUACAUCUACAGGGCACUGUCAUCACUGUCAAACACGAUGGGAGCCUCCAAAAUGUACAACUUGUAUUGAUGGCUACUGGGGAGAAUCUUGUGAAAAGUGUGGUCAUUGUGAGACGGGAAAGGCUUGUAAUAAAACAACAGGUCAUUGUCAACAGUGUGAAACAGGAUGGGCGCUACCUAGAUGUGCAUUUAUAUCAGUUGACAUGUUCACUGUAUUUGUCGCUGGUGGAGCAUCUGUAGCAGUUGUGUGCAUAGUUACGACACUGUAUGUGUUCCUUUGUAGAAGAAAAAAGAGAACACCACAUUCAAGGCAAGACGUGUUCACCUACAAGCAGGUUCUGGCAACGCGAAACGAAGUUCCAGUGGUGGAUCUGGAACAGCUGGUCGUUGAUACGGAUGAUGAAGCCGACAACUUACUGUCCAAGCCAAGUAUUAUCGUGGAGGAGAAUGAGUACGUUAAUUAUAUUAAUACGAAAAUACCCGUGGAAACCCUGUGCACCUGUAUAAAGGACAAGAACUUCAAAGACGAGUUUUCUAUGCUGCCGUUUGGUCUACUGUCCCCCAUGAAUUCGGAAAGGAUCCUAUCAACAAAAAGAAGAACAGAUAUUUGACCACGUUCCCCUACGAUCACUCACGUGUCCAACUGAAGGUCACAGACACACAACUUAAUGAUUACAUUAAUGCUAAUUACAUAGACGGUUACAAGAAGCCAAAGGCCUACAUUGCGGCACAAGGUCCUGUGCCAAUCACA
RNAcentral lists this unclassified non-coding RNA (1553 nucleotides) under Gigantopelta aegis. RNAcentral's name for it is "receptor-type tyrosine-protein phosphatase mu-like, transcript variant X2". Lineage: Eukaryota; Metazoa; Mollusca; Gastropoda; Neomphalida; Peltospiridae. The record is from RNAcentral.